UGCAAACUUGCAAUGAGUGAAUUUACACCUUGAAAAUUGAAAAUGAUGUCGGUGGAAUUCAGCAACUAUAGACUAUAGAGUAUAGACUAUAUAGUUAACAGCUGUAUUUAUUUCUAUUAAGAGGAAGCAAACAUGGAAGCAGAGGCAACAGUUGUUUUAGAAGUUCCAGUGACAAAAGCUGUUGAGGACACAGAUCAUAAAGAUGAUAAAAUUAAGGAAACAAACGGGGACUUACCUCAAGUAGAGAUUGAAGGUAAGAAAGAAGAGGAAGAGAAUUCUUUUAAUGGAGAAUUCAUUAAAGCCGAAAAGGAAGAGAACACGGCGGCAGAAAGAAG
Arachis ipaensis is the source of this 335-nucleotide non-coding RNA. NCBI's taxonomy places the organism in Eukaryota, Viridiplantae, Streptophyta, Magnoliopsida, Fabales, Fabaceae. The record is from RefSeq and is a predicted model, not a curated record.